AGUAGUCAUAUGCUUGUCUCAAAGAUUAAGCCAUGCAUGUCUCAGUGCAAGCCGUCCAGUACGGUGAAACCGCGAAAGGCUCAUUAAAUCAGUUAUGGUUCCUUAGAUAAUACCCACGUUACUUGGAUAACUGUGGUAAUUCUAGAGCUAAUACAUGCCGACGGAGUUCCGACCGACGAGCGUGGCAUUCGUGCGGCGUUUCGUCGGAAGGAACGCUUUUAUUAGAUCAAAACCGGCUGAGCGACGGUGUUUCGGCAUCGUCGCUAGUGGCCCGCGCAAAGACUUGGUGACUCUGAAUAACUUUGGGCUGAUCGCACGUCCUCGUGACGGCGACGUAUCUUUCAAAUGUCUGCCUUAUCAACUGUCGACGGUAGGUUCGACGCCUACCGUGGUGGUAACGGGUAACGGGGAAUCAGGGUUCGAUUCCGGAGAGGGAGCCUGAGAAACGGCUACCACAUCUAAGGAAGGCAGCAGGCGCGCAAAUUACCCACUCCCAGCUCGGGGAGGUAGUGACGAAAAAUAACGAUACGGGACUCAUCCGAGGCCUCGUAAUCGGAA
Molecule: ribosomal RNA, 558 nt
Filed under: Asterodiaspis quercicola
Lineage: Eukaryota; Metazoa; Arthropoda; Insecta; Hemiptera; Asterolecaniidae
Description: SSU rRNA
Rfam family: Eukaryotic small subunit ribosomal RNA
Source: RNAcentral